UCUGAGCGUGGUCACCAGAGGGUGUUGAGUGUGCGUGUUGAGAUAGAGGUGGAAGUCCAAAAGAAGAAAAAGGCUUGGACGUCAGAGGGCAGGAGCGAGGUCUUGGUCCAGGGAGGCAAGAGGGAAUCCAAAGUGGGUCCAGGUAGACGACGAGGAAGCUGGAGGACGACACAACACGAAAGACCGUCAACUCGACAGGAAGGGAACACAGGGAGCAAGAAGGCUGGAGAUGUGUUGGCUUACUGUACUGAGGCACACCCGCAGCGGAGAGGGAACACCUGUUGAUGUGCUCCGCCAUGCACUCAGUCCGCACAGCAGGAGGAGAAGCAGGAACGUGACCCAUAACACAUUGUGUUUGACUGUGGGACCUUCAAGGUCAUCUGGUUGUCAGAUCUGAGGCAACGACCAAGCCUGGAGCUGAUAGGUUGGUCCAGGAGAUGUUUGAUGUAAGCUGGGG
Molecule: long non-coding RNA, 457 nt
Organism: Nerophis ophidion (straightnose pipefish)
Lineage: Eukaryota; Metazoa; Chordata; Actinopteri; Syngnathiformes; Syngnathidae
Exons: 3
Source: RefSeq, a predicted model, not a curated record